AUACGGAGGAUCCGAGCGUUAUCCGGAUUUAUUGGGUUUAAAGGGUGCGCAGGCGGCCAUUUAAGUCAGCGGUUAAAUCGCGGGGCUCAACCCCAUUCUGCCGUUGAUACUGGGUGGCUUGAUUGCGGUCGAGGUUGGCGGAAUUCGUUGUGUAGCGGUGAAAUGCAUAGAUAUGACGAAGAACACCGAUUGCGUAGGCAGCUGACCAGACCGCAAAUGACGCUCAUGCACGAAAGGGCGGGGAUCGAGCAGGAUUAGAUGCCCUGGUAGUCCGCACAGUAAACGAUGAAUACUUGUUUUCGGCGAUAUAAUGUCGGAGGCAAAGCGAAAGCGAUAAGUAUUCCACCUGGGGAGUACGCCGGCAACGGUGAAACUCAAAGGAAUUGACGGGG
RNAcentral lists this ribosomal RNA (392 nucleotides) under uncultured bacterium. RNAcentral describes it as "partial 16S ribosomal RNA". It matches the Rfam family "Bacterial small subunit ribosomal RNA", at positions 523 to 918 of the family's 1533-position model. The record is from RNAcentral.